Molecule: long non-coding RNA, 568 nt
Filed under: Chinchilla lanigera (long-tailed chinchilla)
Lineage: Eukaryota; Metazoa; Chordata; Mammalia; Rodentia; Chinchillidae
Description: lncRNA (ENSCLAG00000022990.1)
Source: RNAcentral
CUGCUCCUGCACGACCUUCUGCCUUUGACACCGCGUCACCUGGUGGUGUCCCUCCCCCAGGAGCUGCUCUCACUGGUGGCAUCACUUCAGAACCAUGAUGCUGCCUGUGAUCCUAAUCGCACUGAUAAAAGCAAGUGAAUGUGCCCUACUGGACAGCAGUCACUAGGCUAAGGGGUGAGUGCAGGCUGCUGCCCAAGAGCCUCUGUGUCCCUUAACCCCUUUUAUGGGCUCACUCAGGAAGCAGCAAGCAUCCCUAGCCUCAGCCCAGGGCCUUCCACAGAUGGCGCUGAAGAGCCAGGUCCCAGGGUCUGCAGCAGCAGGAGACUGGCUCCUGUCCCACCUGUGGCAAGGUGAGGAGAUGCAGGGCGAGAUGGCCCUGGACCAGCUGUGCGGGAGCUGCAGGAGACCCAGUGAUGGAGCGGUCCAGGCCCCUGCAGGGGAGGACCUGGCCUCCUCUGUGCCUUCUCAUGUUCUCAUCCUACCCAUCACAGCACCCGGAAGCCACCAAGCAGCAGAAGUAGCAGCCAUCCCAGCUGAGCCUCCGCGCUCUGCCUUGGCAAGAACAUGA